UAAGGAAUAUUGCGCAAUGGGCGACAGCCUGACGCAGCGACGCCGCGUGGGGGAUGAAGGUCUUCGGAUUGUAAACCCCUUUCGGCAGGGAAGAUGGAACGGGCAACCGUUCGGACGGUACCUGCAGAAGCAGCCACGGCUAACUUCGUGCCAGCAGCCGCGGUAAUACGAAGGUGGCAAGCGUUGCUCGGAUUUACUGGGCGUACAGGGAGCGUAGGCGGUUGGGUAAGCCCUCCGUGAAAUCUCCGGGCCUAACCCGGAAAGUGCGGAGGGGACUGCUCGGCUAGAGGAUGGGAGAGGAGCGCGGAAUUCCCGGUGUAGCGGUGAAAUGCGUAGAGAUCGGGAGGAAGGCCGGUGGCGAAGGCGGCGCUCUGGAACAUUUCUGACGCUGAGGCUCGAAAGCGUGGGGAGCAAACAGGAUUAGAUACCCUGGUAGUCCACGCCUUAAACGAUGGAUACUAAGUGUCGGCGGGUUACCGCCGGUGCCGCAGCUAACGCAGUAAGUAUCCCGCCUGGGAAGUACGGCCGCAAGGUUG
RNAcentral lists this ribosomal RNA (536 nucleotides) under uncultured bacterium. Its description in RNAcentral is "bacterial SSU rRNA". It matches the Rfam family "Bacterial small subunit ribosomal RNA", at positions 355 to 896 of the family's 1533-position model. The record is from RNAcentral.